GGCCUAAACCCACCUGAUGGUGGGCAUGGCAGAAAAGACCUCAACAGCAUUAAGCUCUUCGUCAGAGCGCUGUUGAGGCUGUAGGUCGAAAGACUUGCAGGAGUCGAAAGAGGCUUC
RNAcentral lists this small RNA (117 nucleotides) under unclassified sequences. RNAcentral's name for it is "LOOT RNA". It matches the Rfam family "LOOT RNA". Rfam says of the family: Latescibacteria, OD1/Parcubacteria, OP11, TM7. Lineage (Microgenomates, aka OP11) The record is from Rfam by way of RNAcentral.